GAUGAAGAACGUAGCGAAAUGCGAUAAGUAAUGUGAAUUGCAGAAUUCAGUGAAUCAUCGAAUCUUUGAACGCACAUUGCGCCCGCCAGUAUUCUGGCGGGCAUGCCUGUCCGUGCGUCAUUUCAACCCUCGAACCCCUCCGGGGGGUCGGCGUUGGGGAUCGGCCCUGCCUCUGGCGGUGGCCGUCUCCGAAAUACAGUGGCGGUCUCGCCGCAGCCUCUCCUGCGCAGUAGUUUGCACACUCGCAUCGGGAGCGCGGCGCGUCCACAGCCGUUAAACACCCAACUUCUGAAAUGUUGACCUCGGAUCAGGUAGGAAUACCCGCUGAACUUAAGCAUAUCAAUAAGCGGAGGA
This 354-nucleotide unclassified non-coding RNA is filed under the name soil metagenome. Its description in RNAcentral is "partial contains 5.8S ribosomal RNA, internal transcribed spacer 2, and large subunit ribosomal RNA". The stretch from base 1 to 120 matches the Rfam family "5.8S ribosomal RNA", at positions 35 to 154 of the family's 154-position model. The record is from RNAcentral.